CAUCAACAGAACAGUAAAUAGCAUAUUUUAAAUCAUUCAGAAAAUAAUUUUCAAUUUGCUGCAUUCAUUCAAUCUUAAAUUGUAUUAAAGAAAAGACUGGUGCCACUUCAUGAUAAUGAUAAGAAGAAAUUGUAAAAGAACCAUUUAAAAGUUAAGAAUUUAAUUGUAGAUAUCAUUAACAUCAUUUAUUUAAACUUUUAAAUUAAGUAUGUUUUGUUCUGUUUUUCGUAAAGCAAAUGAAAUUUGGACUUUUUGCUUUUUCAGGAUGAAAAUAGCAAACAGGAAGUUCAAAAGAUUUUUUCCUCAAUUCUAAAAUGGUUAAAUGCAAAACUUGAGGUAAUCUUUUUUUAAAGAUUUAGGAAGGUUAUAUAUAGUUUAUGAUGGUCACAUCACUCAUAUAAGUCCUAGUCAUCCAUCUGACUGGGACAUUACGACUCUCUUAUUUUUUACUAUACUGAGAAAACACAUAAUAAAAAAAUUCCAAUCUGAAUAAUGGAUGUGAUACUCUUGCGAGAUUUUUGUUGUUUGAAAAUUAUUCUUAGUAGACUGUUGCAACAAAGGCUGACUUUUAAAAAAAAUCUAGAAUAGAAAUGAGUAAUAGGCUAAUUUUAUAAUGCUACCAAUUUGAAGUUGAAGAAAAAAAAUAUAUAUAAAGCAUCUCUGGACAGUACACAUUUUGAUAAUUUAUUUUUACAGCUUCAUUCAAUGCUGGCCUCAAUAUUUACAAAGUGCCAAUUGGAAGAAAUUUACCUGAUGUUUAGGUAAGUCAGCAUUACUACAAAAAAAAAGUACACAAAUGCAUUGUUAAGAGUAAAGUUGUAUCCUUGUAUGAAAUUUUCUUGUUAAAAAAUUCAGAUGAGUUAUUUCCCUUGAUUCACAAGUUUAUAUAUUUUAUAGCGUCUAAACUAAUUGAUACAUGACAGGACUCAUUCCUCAAUGAAUUUCUUUUCAUUAAUAACUCAUCACUUUCCAGAUAUACUUAUUAUGUAAAAAUAUGUGCAUCACACAAGCAUACUUAGGAAAGAGGGGGGAUGCAUUGAUGAAAAUUAUUUCAAGGGAGAUAAUUUUAGAUUUUUUUUCUUCAGGACAAAUAUUAUACAAUAUAAUAUAAUAAUCAGAUUUGCAAAUAGAGCUGAAAUAACAGUUGUAUCUUACUCUUAGGUUCAAUUUUUUAUGCAAGAACCACAGGAUGGAAAAGUUUUAAUUACUAUUUGAAACAUUUUGGGCACCAAAUGGUAUAAAAGUCAAGAAUUUAGCAGCAAAACAUAAUUCAAACUGAAUGAAGACUAAAAUAGUGAUAUAGAAAAACUGUUUCUCCUUUUUAUUUUUAAGAACCUUGUAAAAAAAAUUUCAUUCCAUUUUUAGGUAAUAUUUGAUGCUUCCAAUUCUGGGUUUUAAGGGGAAAGGUGGAAAUGAAGGAAGGACAUCAACACACAAAACAUGUCUAAAGACUUGGUAACAAAAUACAACUCUGUAAUUAUUUGCUGUGAUAGAAUAUGGACUUAAACACUAAUGGACUCAGGAACAAACUGUGCAAGUGAAGCAACUUAAACAAAACCACAGACUCAGGAAUAUGUUGUGCAAAACAAUGGACUUCAAAAACAAACAAAAAGAAGACCAAGAAAUAUGAUAUAAUUCAACAAGAAACUUAUAUUUAACAACUAGG
This 1666-nucleotide long non-coding RNA is filed under the name Mytilus galloprovincialis (Mediterranean mussel). Lineage: Eukaryota; Metazoa; Mollusca; Bivalvia; Mytilida; Mytilidae. The record is from RNAcentral.